This 497-nucleotide ribosomal RNA is filed under the name uncultured bacterium. RNAcentral's name for it is "partial 16S ribosomal RNA". It matches the Rfam family "Bacterial small subunit ribosomal RNA", at positions 28 to 507 of the family's 1533-position model. The record is from RNAcentral.
GAUGAACGCUGGCGGCGUGCCUAAUACAUGCAAGUCGAGCGAACAGACGAGGAGCUUGCUCCUCUGACGUUAGCGGCGGACGGGUGAGUAACACGUGGAUAACCUACCUAUAAGACUGGGAUAACUUCGGGAAACCGGAGCUAAUACCGGAUAAUAUAUUUAAACGCAUGGUUCAAUAGUGAAAGACGGUUUUGCUGUUACUUAUAGAUGGAUCCGCGCCGCAUUAGCUAGUUGGUAAGGUAACGGCUUACCAAGGCAACGAUGCGUAGCCGACCUGAGAGGGUGAUCGGCCACACUGGAACUGAGACACGGUCCAGACUCCUACGGGAGGCAGCAGUAGGGAAUCUUCCGCAAUGGGCGAAAGCUUGACGGAGCAACGCCGCGUGAGUGAUGAAGGUCUUCGGAUCGUAAAACUCUGUUAUUAGGGAAGAACAAAUGUGUAAGUAACUAUGCACGUCUUGACGGUACCUAAUCAGAAAGCCACGGCUAACUACGUG